ACAGGCUGCUGGGAAACACCUGCUUCACCAUGGUCUCUCCAUGGGCUGCAGGGCAAUCUCUGCUCCAGCACAUGGAACAUCUCCUCCAGUUCCUUCUCCUCCCAUCAUAGUGUCCCCAAAGUGGUUUCUUCCUCUUUUUUUCCCCCCCUUGUUUCUUUCUGUCAUCUGGUGAUUUUGCCAUUUCUUAAAUAUUUUCCCUAGUGCCACUCCCACCGUGUGUGUGGGGCUCCGCCGCGCCCUGCGGAGGGCGUUUGGAUCCGGCUGGAACUGGCUGUGUCUGGCUGGGGCAGCCCCGGCCUCCCCUCACGGAGCCACCGCUGCUGCCAGGGCCUGGAUGUCUGCAAGCCAUGAAAAUGUCCCGUGCUUUUAAAAAAUGAAGCUUAAAUAUUCAUGAGGUUUUGUGUCUUAAAAAUGUCUAGGUUUUGCUUUGAUGAUGCUGAAGAACACUUGAAAACAAUUGAUGAAUGCAAAUUUGUGCAUCUUUUUCUGCAUCUAAUUAAUUAAGCACAUCCAUUUCCCUUGGGAGCCAACUGUCAGUGCUGAUAAACAAAUAAUACACCAGAUUUUUCAUGCUGUCCAGUA
Molecule: long non-coding RNA, 582 nt
Organism: Vidua macroura (Pin-tailed whydah)
Lineage: Eukaryota; Metazoa; Chordata; Aves; Passeriformes; Viduidae
Exons: 2
Source: RefSeq, a predicted model, not a curated record